RNAcentral lists this small nuclear RNA (107 nucleotides) under Myotis brandtii (Brandt's bat). Lineage: Eukaryota; Metazoa; Chordata; Mammalia; Chiroptera; Vespertilionidae. The record is from RNAcentral.
GUGCUCACUUCAGCAGCACAAAUACUAAAAUUGGAACGAUACAGAGAAGAUUAGCAUGGCCCCUGUGCAAGGAUGACACACAAAUUUGUGAAGCGUUCCAUUUAAAA